Molecule: small nuclear RNA, 107 nt
Organism: Marmota marmota marmota (Alpine marmot)
Lineage: Eukaryota; Metazoa; Chordata; Mammalia; Rodentia; Sciuridae
Source: Ensembl
UUGCUCACUUUGGCAGCACAUUUACUAAAACUGGAAUGAUUCAGAGAAGAUUAGCAUGGCCCCUGUGCAACAAUGACAUGCAAAUUUGUGAAGCAUUCCAUAUUGAA